Molecule: non-coding RNA, 123 nt
Organism: Gossypium raimondii (Peruvian cotton)
Lineage: Eukaryota; Viridiplantae; Streptophyta; Magnoliopsida; Malvales; Malvaceae
Source: Rfam
AAUGAGAGAAUGACAAAUCAGAUUUUUCCUUUUGAUUUUCAGCUUUUUCUCCCUGAAAAAAUUCAAAUCAAACUAAAAGUACUAAAAAUCAGAAGGAAAAUUCUGAUUUGUCAUUCUCCUAUU